Molecule: transfer RNA, 66 nt
Filed under: Prauserella isguenensis
Lineage: Bacteria; Bacillati; Actinomycetota; Actinomycetes; Pseudonocardiales; Pseudonocardiaceae
Description: tRNA-OTHER
Source: RNAcentral
GGGUUGGCGCAUGUCCGCGCACUUACAAGCAGGGCGUCGCUGGUUCGAACCCAGCUGCGCCCACCA